RNAcentral lists this long non-coding RNA (977 nucleotides) under Equus caballus (horse). RNAcentral's name for it is "lncRNA (ENSECAG00000055543.1)". Lineage: Eukaryota; Metazoa; Chordata; Mammalia; Perissodactyla; Equidae. The record is from RNAcentral.
AAAAAGAAAGCCAUUUAUAUGCAAAUCUUAAAGGUAGUGAAGGGGAGUGAGGAGGCACUGGGCAGAAAAGAAUGAAUAAUAAAGAAAAGCAUUUUUUCCUUCUGAGAAUUCAGUGGAUCUUUUGCUGCAGCUGCAAGUUGAUUUGAAUGUUAGAGCAGCAAGAAUACAUAUACAUAAUUUAAUCUGGAUGUUGUGUCAAAGAAAAAUUGCAUUGGACAGAGUUACACAGGCAAGGAAGACUUUAUUCAAGACUACGGCAAUACUGGAGAGAGACUAAACUCAAGUCCAUUGAAACAAAAGGCGAGAGGGCUUUCAGUGCUGGGGUGAGCUGGCAGAAUGGCACUGGAGGACGUUAUACGGAGGUUGGUGGGUGUGAUUAUACCAUCUGUGUUUGCAAUUGGCAUUUAUUGAAGUUAAACUCCUACCCUCCCGCAGAGACUGGGAGAUAGGGGCCCAAUUGCCUUCAAUAAUUACAUUUCGAAGGGAUGACUCCCAGCUUCUUGAGAAAGACAUUCCUGGGUUGCAAAACUGGCAAGAGCCCGGGAUAAUAUUUAUACACAUUUCAAAGCGGCACAGGAAGAAUAUACAAUUACAAGUUUUCUAAAGUCAAUGAUUUUAGAAGAAGGUCAAGGCGUAGAGUCAGGAGUAAGUCUGUCUAAAGCUGAGUCAAGCUAAUUGAGCAAGGCCAUCCUGAUCAACUGUUGGAUAUGCUAUAGGAGUUCUGGACCCCUUACGGGGACACAGGGGGCAAGGGUACAGGGGGCCAGGGAGCACGAUGAACAGUACUUUAGCUGGCAAAGCCCCCACCUCACUCUUCCACCAGAGCAGAAGAUUUCCAGUUCAUCUCUUUUGCAUAUAGGACUUCCAUGUAAGCUUUCUUUUAAGAAAAGUCUCCUUGCUAAAGAAAGUUUGUAACUAUAAAUUAUGGACAUUUUUUUAUUUGUCUAGUGGAUAGACUAAAGCUGAGAAGGAAUAAA